AGCUGAUCAGCCAUGCCGCGUGUGUGAUGAAGGCCUUAGGGUCGUAAAGCACUUUCGCCAGAGAUGAUAAUGACAGUAUCUGGUAAAGAAACCCCGGCUAACUCCGUGCCAGCAGCCGCGGUAAUACGGAGGGGGUUAGCGUUGUUCGGAAUUACUAGGGCGUAAAGCGCACGUAGGCGGAUUAGUCAGUCAGAGGUGAAAUCCCAGGGCUCAACCCUGGAACUGCCUUUGAUACUGCUAGUCUUGAGUUCGAGAGAGGUGAGUGGAAUUCCGAGUGUAGAGGUGAAAUUCGUAGAUAUUCGGAGGAACACCAGUGGCGAAGGCGGCUCACUGGCUCGAUACUGACGCUGAGGUGCGAAAGUGUGGGGAGCAAACAGGAUUAGAUACCCUGGUAGUCCACACCGUAAACGAUGAAUGCCAGUCGUCGGGUAGUAUACUAUUCGGCGACACAC
Molecule: ribosomal RNA, 452 nt
Filed under: uncultured Alphaproteobacteria bacterium
Lineage: Bacteria; Pseudomonadati; Pseudomonadota; Alphaproteobacteria
Description: bacterial SSU rRNA
Rfam family: Bacterial small subunit ribosomal RNA
Source: RNAcentral